RNAcentral lists this ribosomal RNA (255 nucleotides) under Chelon labrosus (thicklip grey mullet). RNAcentral's name for it is "partial 12S ribosomal RNA". It matches the Rfam family "Bacterial small subunit ribosomal RNA", at positions 862 to 1237 of the family's 1533-position model. Lineage: Eukaryota; Metazoa; Chordata; Actinopteri; Mugiliformes; Mugilidae. The record is from RNAcentral.
GGACUAUCCGCCUGGGUACUACGAGCUUUAGCUUAAAACCCAAAGGACUUGGCGGUGCUUAAGAUCCACCUAGAGGAGCCUGUUCUAUAACCGAUACCCCCCGUUUAACCUCACUCUUUCUUGUUCAUUCCGCCUAUAUACCGCCGUCGUCAGCUCACCCUGUGAAGGCCCUGUAGUAAGCAAAAUUGGCACGACCCAAAACGCCAGGUCGAGGUGUAGCGUAUGAAAGAGGAAGAAAUGGGCUACAUUUCCUAA